Molecule: ribosomal RNA, 494 nt
Filed under: Chrysolina peregrina
Lineage: Eukaryota; Metazoa; Arthropoda; Insecta; Coleoptera; Chrysomelidae
Description: partial 16S large subunit ribosomal RNA
Rfam family: Bacterial large subunit ribosomal RNA
Source: RNAcentral
AAAUUUAAGGUCUGACCUGCCCACUGAGAUUUUAAAUGGCCGUGGUAUUUUGACCGUGCUAAGGUAGCAUAAUCAUUAGUUUUCUAAUUAAAAACUGGAAUGAAAGGUCGGAUAAGAAAAUAGCUGUCUCUAUUUAAUUUAAUUAGAAUUUUAUUUUUAAGUUAAAAAGCUUAAUUGUUUUUAAAAGACGAGAAGACCCUAUAGAGUUUAAUUAUUAAAUAAAAAUUAUAUUUUAGUAUUAAUUUAUUUGAUUUAUUUAAUAAUUUAAUUGGGGUGAUUAAAAAAUUUAAUUAACUUUUUUUAUUUUAAAUCAUUAAUUUAUGAUUAAAUGAUCCAAUAGUUUUGAUUAUAAGAUAAAAUUACCUUAGGGAUAACAGCGUAAUUUUUUUAGAGAGUUCAUAUUAAAAGAAAAGAUUGCGACCUCGAUGUUGGAUUAAAAUAAAUUUUUGGUGUAGAAGCUAAAAUAUUAGGUCUGUUCGACCCUUAAAAUUUUA